UGCUUAAGGUCAGCCCAGUACUACGAAU
RNAcentral lists this non-coding RNA (28 nucleotides) under Bombyx mori (domestic silkworm). Lineage: Eukaryota; Metazoa; Arthropoda; Insecta; Lepidoptera; Bombycidae. The record is from RNAcentral.